This 440-nucleotide ribosomal RNA is filed under the name uncultured bacterium. RNAcentral describes it as "partial 16S ribosomal RNA". It matches the Rfam family "Bacterial small subunit ribosomal RNA", at positions 338 to 795 of the family's 1533-position model. The record is from RNAcentral.
CCUACGGGAGGCAGCAGUGGGGGAUAUUGCACAAUGGGGGAAACCCUGAUGCAGCGACGCCGCGUGGGUGAAGAAGCGCCUCGGCGCGUAAAGCCCUGUCAGCAGGGAAGAAAAUGACGGUACCUGAAGAAGAAGCCCCGGCUAACUACGUGCCAGCAGCCGCGGUAAUACGUAGGGGGCAAGCGUUAUCCGGAUUUACUGGGUGUAAAGGGGGCGCAGACGGCGAUGCAAGCCAGGAGUGAAAGCCCGGGGCCCAACCCCGGGACUGCUCUUGGAACUGCGUGGCUAGAGUGCAGGAGGGGCAGGCGGAAUGCGUGGGGUAGCGGUGAAAUGCGUAGAUAUCAGGAGGAACACCGGUGGCGAAGGCGGCCUGCUGGACUGCGACUGACGUUGAGGCACGAAAGCGUGGGGAGCAAACAGGAUUAGAUACCCCUGUAGUC